Molecule: ribosomal RNA, 259 nt
Filed under: uncultured bacterium
Lineage: Bacteria
Description: partial 16S ribosomal RNA
Rfam family: Bacterial small subunit ribosomal RNA
Source: RNAcentral
AACGGGUGAGUAACACGUAGGUAACCUGCCCAUGUGCCCGGGAUAACUUCUGGAAACGGAUGCUAAAACCGGAUAGGUAGCAGACAAGCAUUUGACUGCUAUUAAAGUGGCUAAGGCCAUGAACAUGGAUGGACCUGCGGUGCAUUAGCUAGUUGGUGAGGUAACGGCCCACCAAGCCUUCGAUGGAUAGGGGUUCUGAGAGGAAGGUCCCCCACAUUGGAACUGAGACACGGUCCAAACUCCUACGGGAGGCAGCAUG